GUUUAAAUGAAUUAAAAGAUUUCUAUAUUACAAAAAUAGUGUUUUAAAUAUAAACU
RNAcentral lists this transfer RNA (56 nucleotides) under Trachelipus rathkii. Its description in RNAcentral is "tRNA-Cys". Lineage: Eukaryota; Metazoa; Arthropoda; Malacostraca; Isopoda; Trachelipodidae. The record is from RNAcentral.